Molecule: transfer RNA, 70 nt
Filed under: Trachelipus rathkii
Lineage: Eukaryota; Metazoa; Arthropoda; Malacostraca; Isopoda; Trachelipodidae
Description: tRNA-Ser
Source: RNAcentral
UUAGUUUUAACCUUAGGUACUUUCUUUGAAUGGAAGGAGGGGGCUCUGGAGUGGAAGUAGUUAAACUAUA